CCUACGGGGGGCAGCAGUGAGGAAUAUUGGUCAAUGGCCGGAAGGCUGAACCAGCCAUGCCGCGUGAAGGUCAGUGCCCUAUGGGCGUUAAACUUCUUUUGUGCGGGAGCAAUAAUGGUCACGUGUGGCCAGACGAGAGUACCGUACGCAUAAGCAUCGGCUAACUCCGUGCCAGCAGCCGCGGUAAUACGGGGGAUGCAAGCGUUAUCCGGAUUUAUUGGGUUUAAAGGGUGCGUAGGCUGUGAGGUAAGUCAGCGGUGAAAUGCCCCCGCUCAACGGGGUGAAGUGCCAUUGAUACUGGCUGGCUGGAAUGCGGAUGCGGUGGGAGGAAUGUGUGGUGUAGCGGUGAAAUGCAUAGAUAUCACACAGAACACCGAUUGCGAAGGCAUCUCACGAAUCCGCGAUUGACGCUGAUGCACGAAAGCGUGGGUAUCAAACAGGAUUAGAUACCCUAGUAGUC
RNAcentral lists this ribosomal RNA (460 nucleotides) under uncultured bacterium. RNAcentral describes it as "partial 16S ribosomal RNA". It matches the Rfam family "Bacterial small subunit ribosomal RNA", at positions 338 to 795 of the family's 1533-position model. The record is from RNAcentral.